RNAcentral lists this ribosomal RNA (350 nucleotides) under uncultured bacterium. RNAcentral describes it as "bacterial SSU rRNA". It matches the Rfam family "Bacterial small subunit ribosomal RNA", at positions 8 to 350 of the family's 1533-position model. The record is from RNAcentral.
AGAGUUUGAUCAUGGCUCAGGAUGAACGCUAGCUACAGGCUUAACACAUGCAAGUCGAGGGGAAACGACAUCGAAAGCUUGCUUUUGAUGGGCGUCGACCGGCGCACGGGUGAGUAACGCGUAUCCAACCUGCCCACCACUUGGGGAUAACCUUGCGAAAGUAAGACUAAUACCCAAUGAUAUCUCUAGAAGACAUCUGAAAGAGAUUAAAGAUUUAUCGGUGAUGGAUGGGGAUGCGUCUGAUUAGCUUGGUUGGCGGGGUAACGGCCACCAAGGCGACGAUCAGUAGGGGUUCUGAGAGGAGUCCCCANAUUGGAACUGAGACACAGUCCAAACUCCUACGGGAGGCA